UACGUAGGCAGCGAGCGUUGUUCGGAAUUACUGGGCGUAAAGAGUGUGUAGGCGGUGCUCUAAGUUCGGUGUGAAAUCUUCCGGCUUAACUGGGAGGGUGCGCCGGAAACUGGAGUGCUCGAGCGUGGGAGAGGAAAGCGGAAUUCCUGGUGUAGCGGUGAAAUGCGUAGAUAUCAGGAAGAACACCUAUGGCGAAGGCAGCUCUCUGGGACGGUACUGACGCUGAGACGCGAAAGCGUGGGGAGCGAACAGG
RNAcentral lists this ribosomal RNA (253 nucleotides) under uncultured bacterium. RNAcentral describes it as "partial 16S ribosomal RNA". It matches the Rfam family "Bacterial small subunit ribosomal RNA", at positions 524 to 776 of the family's 1533-position model. The record is from RNAcentral.